GCGCAGGCCUACACAUGCAGUCGAGCGGAACGAUCCUAGCUUGCUAGGAGGCGUCGAGCGGCGGACGGGUGAGUAAUGCAUAGGAAUCUGCCCGAUAGUGGGGGAUAACCUGAGGAAACUCAGGCUAAUACCGCAUACGUCCUACGGGAGAAAGCAGGGGCUCUUCGGACCUUGCGCUAUCGGAUGAGCUUAUGUCGGAUUAGCUGGUUGGUGAGGUAAUGGCUCACCAAGGCGACGAUCCGUAGCUGGUCUGAGAGGAUGAUCAGCCACAUCGGGACUGAGACACGGCCCGAACUCCUACGGGAGGCAGCAGUGGGGAAUAUUGGACAAUGGGGGCAACCCUGAUCCAGCCAUGCCGCGUGUGUGAAGAAGGCCCUCGGGUUGUAAAGCACUUUCAGUGAGGAAGAAUGCUUGUCGGUUAAUACCCGGCAAGGGAGACAUCACUCACAGAAGAAGCACCGGCUAACUCCGUGCCAGCAGCCGCGGUAAUACGGAGGGUGCGAGCGUUAAUCGGAAAUUACUGGGCCGUAAAAGCGCGCCGUAGGCGGCCUUGAUAAACCGGGUUGUGAAAGCCCCGGGCCUCAACCCUGGGAACGGCCAUCCGGGAACUGUCAGGCUUAGAGUGCAGGAGAGGAAAGGUAGAAUUCCCGGUGUAGCGGUGAAAUGCGUAGAGAUCGGGAGGAAUACCAGUGGCGAAGGCGGCCUUCUGGACUGACACUGACGCUGAGGUGCGAAAGCGUGGGUAGCAAACAGGAUUAGAUACCCUGGGUAGUCCACGCCGUAAACGAUGUCGACUAACCCGUUGGGGGUCCUCGAGACCUUUUGUGGGCGCAGUUAACCGCACUAAGGUCGACCCGCCUGGGGGAGUACCGGCCGCAAGGGUUAAAACUCAAAUGGAAUUGGACGGGGGGCCCCGCACAAAGCGGGGGGAAGCAUGGUGGGUUUAAUUUCGAUGGCAACGCGAAGAACCUUACCUACCCUUGACAUCGUGCGAACUUGGUAGAGAUACCUUGGUGCCUUCGGGAACGCACAGACAGGUGCUGCAUGGCUGUCGUCAGCUCGUGUUGUGAAAUGUUGGGUUAAGUCCCGUAACGAGCGCAACCCUUGUCCCUAUUUGCCAGCGAUUCGGUCGGGAACUCUAGGGAGACUGCCGGUGACAAACCGGAGGAAGGUGGGGACGACGUCAAGUCAUCAUGGCCCUUACGGGUAGGGCUACACACGUGCUACAAUGGCCGGUACAAUGGGCUGCAAAGCGGCGACGUGGAGCUAAUCUCAUAAAGCCGGUCUCAGUCCGGAUCGGAGUCUGCAACUCGACUCCGUGAAGUCGGAAUCGCUAGUAAUCGUGCAUCAGAAUGGCACGGUGAAUACGUUCCCGGGCCUUGUACACACCGCCCGUCACACCAUGGGAGUGGACUGCACCAGAAGUGGUUAGCCUAACUUCGGAGGGCGAUCACCACGGUGUG
RNAcentral lists this ribosomal RNA (1463 nucleotides) under Halomonas caseinilytica. Its description in RNAcentral is "bacterial SSU rRNA". It matches the Rfam family "Bacterial small subunit ribosomal RNA". Lineage: Bacteria; Pseudomonadati; Pseudomonadota; Gammaproteobacteria; Oceanospirillales; Halomonadaceae. The record is from RNAcentral.